UACGAACCGUACAAACGUUAUUCGGAAUCACUGGGCUUAAAGGGUGCGUAGGCGGCCAUGUAAGUGAGGUGUGAAAUCCCUCGGCUCAACCGAGGAACUGCGCUUCAUACUGCAUGGCUUGAGGGAGACAGGGGUAAGCGGAACUGAUGGUGGAGCGGUGAAAUGCGUUGAUAUCAUCAGGAACACCGGUGGCGAAAGCGGCUUACUGGGUCUCUUCUGACGCUGAG
This 227-nucleotide ribosomal RNA is filed under the name uncultured bacterium. Its description in RNAcentral is "partial 16S ribosomal RNA". It matches the Rfam family "Bacterial small subunit ribosomal RNA", at positions 524 to 750 of the family's 1533-position model. The record is from RNAcentral.